CCAAGGGCACACUACCUUUCAAAUGCCAAGAAUGAACUUGGAGUUGUUUUUUCCCAAAGUAUAGCUGGAGUACCUACUGCUGAUCCGGAGGCUGAGGAGGAAGAUGGAGCUGCACUUGAAGAUCCGGGGACAAGAGGAGGAAGAAGAUGGCGCAACACUUGAUCCGAAGGCGGAGGAGGAAGAAAAUGAGGCAUCCAUCACUGGCGCGGACAAGGAGAGGGAAGCGGAGUCGUUGCCGCGAGUUCUGAAGGUGCGAGCUCGGAGGCAUAGGAUAAAUCGGAGGCGUGGAGGAGCAGCUGGCCUUGCUCGGAGAAGAGGCUCUUCAUCCGGCAGGCGAGUUGCUGGCUUGCUGCUGAGGGCAAUCUAGAGUGACCUGCAGCUACUGCCGAGGGCGAUCUGGAACUGCUGUUGAGGGCGACCUGGGGAGGCGAUCUGGAGAGGCGAGCGAGCAAAGCGGGAGGUGCGAGGCGAGCGGUCUGGAGGGUGUCUGGAGCGGGUGAUGGGCCAAGGCCCAAAGCCUACCAGCGUUUUUUUAAUACUACCCAACGUGGGAAUCGAACGAAGACGACCGGACGUACGAAAAAAGGAACGGAACGUACGAAAAGGCCUGGUGCACGAAAAAAGUGGAGAAACAAUCCUCCCUAUAUUGGGUAGAGAGUAGAUUUGUCAAAUUUGCCAUCGAACGCGCGCUAUGGAUCAGACUUAUUUGAAUUUCAAAUUGCCCUUUAGAGGAACAUAUACAGGAAUAAAGCGUACAUAUAAGCA
Molecule: non-coding RNA, 765 nt
Organism: Triticum urartu
Lineage: Eukaryota; Viridiplantae; Streptophyta; Magnoliopsida; Poales; Poaceae
Source: RefSeq, a predicted model, not a curated record